This 245-nucleotide ribosomal RNA is filed under the name uncultured Thioalkalivibrio sp. RNAcentral describes it as "partial 16S ribosomal RNA". It matches the Rfam family "Bacterial small subunit ribosomal RNA", at positions 524 to 768 of the family's 1533-position model. The record is from RNAcentral. Lineage: Bacteria; Pseudomonadati; Pseudomonadota; Gammaproteobacteria; Chromatiales; Ectothiorhodospiraceae.
UACGGAGGGUGCAAGCGUUAAUCGGAAUUACUGGGCGUAAAGCGCACGCAGGUGGCUGAGUCAGUCGAUUGUGAAAGCCCUGGGCUUAACCUGGGAAUUGCAGUCGAUACUACUCAGCUAGAGUAUGGGAGAGGGCAGUGGAAUUCCCGGUGUAGCGGUGAAAUGCGUAGAUAUCGGGAGGAACAUCAGUGGCGAAGGCGGCUGCCUGGCCCAAUACUGACACUCAGGUGCGACAGCGUGGGGAG